Molecule: ribosomal RNA, 860 nt
Filed under: Elimia cylindracea
Lineage: Eukaryota; Metazoa; Mollusca; Gastropoda; Pleuroceridae
Description: partial 16S ribosomal RNA
Rfam family: Bacterial large subunit ribosomal RNA
Source: RNAcentral
GUGUCGAUGAGAAAAUAAUUAUAAAAUAUUAAUUAUUUUAUAAAAUAUUUCUCGAUUAAUUUUUUUGAGGAUAAGCUCGGAAAAAAGUUAAGAAAUUUUACUAAUUUAGGUUAUUAUGUGGGCUUAAAAUUGGCCAUCGUAAGAGUUUGUUAUAAAACAAUAAUCCUAAUAUUUAAGAUAAAUAUAUUUUAUUCUAAUUUUUUUACAGAAAUAAAGACCUCAAUUAAUAAAUGCCUUAUACCUAUGCUAGGAUGAGUAUUAAAACUUUUUAUAUUUUAAGAAAGUUUUAUGUAUUUUUCUUCAAAAAAAAUAUUGAUUGAAUUAAAUUAGUUAAAAGGAACUCGGCAAAAUUAAUGCUUUCGCCUGUUUAUCAAAAACAUGGCUCUCUGAAUUCAUUUUUAUAGAGAGUCAGGCCUGCCCAGUGAAUAAUAUUUAACGGCCGCGGUACUCUGACCGUGCAAAGGUAGCAUAAUCAUUUGCCCUAUAAUUGAGGGCUAGUAUGAAUGGUUUAACGAAAGCAAUACUGUCUCCUUUCUAUUUUCAAGAACUUAACCUUUAGGUGAAGAGGCCUAAAUAAAAUUGAAGGACAAGAAGACCCUGUCGAGCUUAAAAGACACUAUAGAAGUCCAUAUAUUUUUAAAUAAAUUUUCUAUUAAGCUUUUUAGUUGGGGCGACUAAGGAACAAAAAAAGCUUCUUGUAAUAAGCAAAUAUCCAAGUUUUGAUCCGGUAAUAACCGAUUAAGGAAAUUAGUUACCGCAGGGAUAACAGCAUAAUCUCUCUUGAGAGACCUAAUCGAAAGAGGGGGUUGUGACCUCGAUGUUGGACUAGAAUAUCCUAAAGAUGCAGAAGUCUUCAAGGG